RNAcentral lists this transfer RNA (73 nucleotides) under Camelus bactrianus (Bactrian camel). It matches the Rfam family "tRNA". Rfam says of the family: Transfer RNA (tRNA) molecules are approximately 80 nucleotides in length. Their secondary structure includes four short double-helical elements and three loops (D, anti-codon, and T loops). Further hydrogen bonds mediate the characteristic L-shaped molecular structure. tRNAs have two regions of fundamental functional importance: the anti-codon, which is responsible for specific mRNA codon recognition, and the 3' end, to which the tRNAs corresponding amino acid is attached (by aminoacyl-tRNA synthetases). tRNAs cope with the degeneracy of the genetic code in two manners: having more than one tRNA (with a specific anti-codon) for a particular amino acid; and 'wobble' base-pairing, i.e. permitting non-standard base-pairing at the 3rd anti-codon position. The record is from Rfam by way of RNAcentral. RNAcentral also lists the same sequence under 1 other name. Lineage: Eukaryota; Metazoa; Chordata; Mammalia; Artiodactyla; Camelidae.
GAGGGUAUAGCUCAAGUGGUAGAGCACAUGCUUAGCAUGCACAAAGUCCUGGGUUCAAUCCCCAGUACUGCCU